GAGUAACGCGUGGGCGAACCUGCCUCGUACUGGGGGAUAACAGUUGGAAACGACUGUUAAUACCGCAUAAGCGCACAGUACCGCAUGGUAUAGUGUGAAAAACUACCGGUGGUACGAGAUGGGCCCGCGUCAGAUUAGCCAGUUGGGUGGGGUAACGGCCUACCAAAGCAACGAUCUGUAGCCGGACUGAGAGGUCGGACGGCCACAUUGGGACUGAGACACGGCCCAAACUCCUACGGGAGGGCAGCAGUGGGGGAGUAUUGCACAAUGGGCGAAAGCCUGAUGCAGCGACGCCGCGUUGAGUGAAGAAGUAUUUCGGUAUGUAAAGCUCUAUCAGCAGGGAAGAAAGACUCGUAAGAGGAGAUGACGGUACCUGACUAAGAAGCCCCGGCUAACUACGUGCCAGCCGCGGC
This 413-nucleotide ribosomal RNA is filed under the name uncultured bacterium. RNAcentral's name for it is "bacterial SSU rRNA". It matches the Rfam family "Bacterial small subunit ribosomal RNA", at positions 108 to 518 of the family's 1533-position model. The record is from RNAcentral.